RNAcentral lists this ribosomal RNA (837 nucleotides) under Triticum aestivum (bread wheat). Its description in RNAcentral is "partial small subunit ribosomal RNA". The record is from RNAcentral. Lineage: Eukaryota; Viridiplantae; Streptophyta; Magnoliopsida; Poales; Poaceae.
AUGCUGACAACGUUUGAUCUCCUUUUCUUUUUUGUGAACGCGCAGGAAGUGGUACAAGCCCUACGUUCGUGUCUCGUGCAACCUCUUCGCCGCGCGGACGGGCCCGGCGUACAGGCACUGUCCCAAGGACGUGCUCACUCGAGCUGUCCACUGGGGAAGCGGGAGAAGUGCCUUCAACCGGCCUGUUCUUGCCCGGCAGACCCUGCCACGGCCGCCUCGCCGGUGGAUUAUGCUCGAGGUCCACGGCGCCGGGAACGACGUCGCCAUGCUGGCAGUCCGGGGGGACAACUUGUACGUGGUGGGCUUCGCGACCCGGUCGGGUGCCUGGUUCGUCUUCAAGAACCGGGCCAACCUCAUCCCCUCCGCCACAGUCCUGCCGUCGACAACUACACCGGGCUGGUCGGCUUCGGCGGCCACAAGAACUUGGAGCAGCUCCGGCUGGGCCGGACGACCACGCUUCGGGCAAUCGCCCACCUCUCUGGCUUUGCCGCCGACUAUGCGCCGGACGCCGACGACGGGUGCAUGCGGCGCGCCGUGGCCACGCUUGUCGUGACAAUAUUUGAGGCCGCUCGCUUCGCCCCGAUACAGCAGAGCAUAUCCGACAACUGGGUCAACGGAGUCACGUUCAAGCCGCAGCAGUGGAUUGUGGUCCAGUGGAGGACCGUGUCGUGCGCUCUCCUCAUCUCCAGGCAGCACGGCGGCCAGUGGGCGUCGCCGGAAACGCGGGAGCUCCGGGGGGUACAGAUCACCACACGGGCCCAGGCGGAGGCCCUUGUCAACGUGCUUCUGUGGCCCGGUAAGGCUGCGUGCUCAGAGCCCAUCGCUCUCCGGGCCUAG